GACGAACGCUGGCGGCGUGCCUAAUACAUGCAAGUAGAACGCACAGGAUGCACCGUAGUUUACUACACCGUAUCCUGUGAGUUGCGAACGGGUGAGUAACGCGUAGGUAACCUGCCUGGUAGCGGGGGAUAACUAUUGGAAACGAUAGCUAAUACCGCAUAAGAACAUUUACUGCAUGGUAGAUGUUUAAAAGGUGCAAGAGCAUCACUACCAGAUGGACCUGCGUUGUAUUAGCUAGUUGGUGAGGUAACGGCUCACCAAGGCAACGAUACAUAGCCGACCUGAGGGGGUGAUCGGCCACACUGGGACUGAGACACGGCCCAGACUCCUACGGGAGGCAGCAGUAGGGAAUCUUCGGCAAUGGGGGGAACCCUGACCGAGCAACGCCGCGUGAGUGAAGAAGGUUUUCGGAUCGUAAAGCUCUGUUGUUAAGGAAGAACGUGUGUGAGAGUGGAAAGUUCACACAGUGACGGUACUUAACCAGAAAGGGACGGCUAACUACGUGCCAGCAGCCGCGGUAAUACGUAGGUCCCGAGCGUUGUCCGGAUUUAUUGGGCGUAAAGCGAGCGCAGGCGGUUAGAUAAGUCUGAAGUGAAAGGCAGUGGCUCAACCAUUGUAGGCUUUGGAAACUGUUUAACUUGAGUGCAGAAGGGGAGAGUGGAAUUCCAUGUGUAGCGGUGAAAUGCGUAGAUAUAUGGAGGAACACCGGUGGCGAAAGCGGCUCUCUGGUCUGUAACUGACGCUGAGGCUCGAAAGCGUGGGGAGCGAACAGG
RNAcentral lists this ribosomal RNA (773 nucleotides) under uncultured Streptococcus sp. RNAcentral's name for it is "bacterial SSU rRNA". It matches the Rfam family "Bacterial small subunit ribosomal RNA", at positions 28 to 776 of the family's 1533-position model. The record is from RNAcentral. Lineage: Bacteria; Bacillati; Bacillota; Bacilli; Lactobacillales; Streptococcaceae.